Molecule: ribosomal RNA, 670 nt
Filed under: Campylobacter jejuni
Lineage: Bacteria; Pseudomonadati; Campylobacterota; Epsilonproteobacteria; Campylobacterales; Campylobacteraceae
Description: bacterial SSU rRNA
Rfam family: Bacterial small subunit ribosomal RNA
Source: RNAcentral
GUGGCGCACGGGUGAGUAAGGUAUAGUUAAUCUGCCCUACACAAGAGGACAACAGUUGGAAACGACUGCUAAUACUCUAUACUCCUGCUUAACACAAGUUGAGUAGGGAAAGUUUUUCGGUGUAGGAUGAGACUAUAUAGUAUCAGCUAGUUGGUAAGGUAAUGGCUUACCAAGGCUAUGACGCUUAACUGGUCUGAGAGGAUGAUCAGUCACACUGGAACUGAGACACGGUCCAGACUCCUACGGGAGGCAGCAGUAGGGAAUAUUGCGCAAUGGGGGAAACCCUGACGCAGCAACGCCGCGUGGAGGAUGACACUUUUCGGAGCGUAAACUCCUUUUCUUAGGGAAGAAUUCUGACGGUACCUAAGGAAUAAGCACCGGCUAACUCCGUGCCAGCAGCCGCGGUAAUACGGAGGGUGCAAGCGUUACUCGGAAUCACUGGGCGUAAAGGGCGCGUAGGCGGAUUAUCAAGUCUCUUGUGAAAUCUAAUGGCUUAACCAUUAAACUGCUUGGGAAACUGAUAGUCUAGAGUGAGGGAGAGGCAGAUGGAAUUGGUGGUGUAGGGGUAAAAUCCGUAGAUAUCACCAAGAAUACCCAUUGCGAAGGCGAUCUGCUGGAACUCAACUGACGCUAAGGCGCGAAAGCGUGGGGAGCAAACAGGAUUAGAUAC